UGAGGAAGAGAGUUCUUGAAGUCUUGUAAUCGAAAUGAGGAGGUGAGGAUUGAGAGGAAUGUGACCACUGAGGUCAAAGCAAAAGUAAGGGAAAUGACGUCGGUCAAGGUGAAAAUCACAAAGAAAGGUUGGGAGAGGAGGAGAGGUAAACCCGUGCUUUGAUUUGGUCCUCCUGGUAUGGUGUAGGCUGCAGCAAAUGCUACGGUGGCGAUGAGAACGGCAACAAUGGUGCAGUUUUCAGAAGUGCGCUUUAGCCAAUCUGUGGCACUGUUAUGAAGAUCGGAAUAGGUUUUAGCGAAUAGUUCCUCUGGAGUCUGCUUAUUUUCGUUGAGGUGUUUGAUGAAAUAGGUUUUGGAGACUUCCUUCACUCGCUGCACACAUAAUUAAUCUUAUAAAUUUUAGGCUCCUAAACAUAUUUUUGUUUUAUUAAACAUCAUAGAAGAGUUUUCAAAAACUGAAAACUAUUUUCAAGUAUUAUUUUUCAAAACUGUUUUUGAAAAUACUUCUUAAAUAGAGCCUAAGUUUUGAACCCAAUGUAUUUUUGAAGCUUUCAAAUUGAUAAUGCCAUUAAGAAGUAUGUGUGCAAAAGCAGGGUUGAAUAGGAUAAUGGAAGCACACCUCAAACAAGAGCAACUCCUUUUGCAAUUGGAGAGCAGGGCUUUGUAUCUUCUCAGCUAUGUAACCUGAUCUUUUCUUCCCAACCAUAUGAAGUAUGGAGUUUCCCCAUUCGUCAGUCUUUCUUACUAGCCUCCUCGCUAGCAUUUCAUUAUUCACCACCAGAUUGAAGAUCUCUAUUUGGCGGUACUUGACGGCAACAUGCAAAAUGUUCUUCCCUCUGUUAUUAAUAUGCUCAAUAGCCUGUGGGUGCACAUCUAGUAUUUGUUCGACAAUCUCUCGAAUGCCUGACAUUGUGGCCAAAAACAAAGGAGUUUCCCCGGUCUUUAUGAUGGGAGUUGUGUAAUCUUCCUCUUCUCCUCCUCCUCCUUCUCUUUCAGUAAAAGAUGAUUUCUUACUUUCCUGGGACUGUCCUUGGGGGGUUUCUUUCUCUUCAUUACCUACGGANNNNNNNNNNNNNNNNNNNNNNNNNNNNNNNNNNNNNNNNNNNNNNNNNNNNNNNNNNNNNNNNNNNNNNNNNNNNNNNNNNNNNNNNNNNNNNNNNNNNAGGUGAAAUCACAAAGAAAAGGUUGGGAGAGGAGGAGAGGUAAACCCGUGCUUUGAUUUGGUCCUCCUGGUAUGGUGUAGGCUGCAGCAAAUGCUACGGUGGCGAUGAGAACGGCAACAAUGGUGCAGUUUUCAGAAGUGCGCUUUAGCCAAUCUGUGGCACUGUUAUGAAGAUCGGAAUAGGUUUUAGCGAAUAGUUCCUCUGGAGUCUGCUUAUUUUCGUUGAGGUGUUUGAUGAAAUAGGUUUUGGAGACUUCCUUCACUCGCUGCACACAUAAUUAAUCUUAUAAAUUUUAGGCUCCUAAACAUAUUUUUGUUUUAUUAAACAUCAUAGAAGAGUUUUCAAAAACUGAAAACUAUUUUCAAGUAUUAUUUUUCAAAACUGUUUUUGAAAAUACUUCUUAAAUAGAGCCUAAGUUUUGAAGCCAAUGUAUUUUUGAAGCUUUCAAAUUGAUAAUGCCAUUAAGAAGUAUGUGUGCAAAAGCAGGGAUGAAUAGGAUAAUGGAAGCGCACCUCAAACAAGAGCAACUCCUUUUGCAAUUGGAGAGCAGGGCUUUGUAUCUUCUCAGCUAUGUAACCUGAUCUUUUCUUCCCAACCAUAUGAAGUAUGGAGUUCCCCCAUUCGUCAGUCUUUCUUACUAGCCUCCUCGCUAGCAUUUCAUUAUUCACCACCAGAUUGAAGAUCUCUAUUUGGCGGUACUUGACGGCAACAUGCAAAAUGUUCUUCCCUCUGUUAUUAAUAUGCUCAAUAGCCUGUGGGUGCACAUCUAGUAUUUGUUCGACAAUCUCUCGAAUGCCUGACAUUGUGGCCAAAAACAAAGGAGUUUCCCCGGUCUUUAUGAUGGGAGUUGUGUAAUCUUCCUCUUCUCCUCCUCCUCCUUCUCUUUCAGUAAAAGAUGAUUUCUUACUUUCCUGGGACUGUCCUUGGGGGGUUUCUUUCUCUUCAUUACCUACGGACAGGGAUUGCAAUCCAUCUCGUCCCAAUCCUUUCUCGUUUAAGGAAGUUCUGGGACCAUAUCUGUGAGUUCUAGGCUUACUGCGGUCCUCUCGUGGAUUAGUGAGCUUCCAUGAAGUGUCAUUUGGAAUCAACAACUCAGCAAGUUUGGCAGCUGAUUCGUAUCUAGCCUUCUCUUUCCUAACUGCUUCCAAUAUGGGCGAUCUCCAACAUGAU
RNAcentral lists this long non-coding RNA (2332 nucleotides) under Vitis vinifera (wine grape). Its description in RNAcentral is "long non-coding RNA (VVIN_LNC007431)". The record is from RNAcentral. Lineage: Eukaryota; Viridiplantae; Streptophyta; Magnoliopsida; Vitales; Vitaceae.